GAAUAUCUACAGAAGUAUUUUGUUGAAUCAAGUCUUUUAAUUAUUUAAUUAAAUUCUACUUUUGUUCAUAAGUUAAUUUUAUGAAUGUUAUCAUACAAUAGUUUUCAGUAUUAAAUAUUUAUUAUAUUACUUUGAAAGUCAGAGUUUUAAAAAAAAUAAAUGAGUUAGUUAAUAUAACUUUAAUUGAGAAAUUAGCGAAGUUAGCCGAUAUAAGUUGAAUUGGGCAAAAAUGAUGAAGUAAAUUCAACGUUAGGUAAAAUUCAAUUUGAAUCAUUAAAUACUUUAAUCUUCAAAACUAUCAGUAAAAUAAAAAGUAAAACUUACAUAAAUCCCCACAAGUUUACCCCUAAUUACUCUCUUUCAAUACUUAUUGCUAAAUUACAAAUAAUCUCUUAUUUUGAUAUUUUCGGAUACAUAAUUAGCAUCCGGAUACAUAAUUUUAAAGUUGAGAUAAAUAAUUUUGAACUUAAAAAUGUAAAAGUUAAUUACUCUAUUUUUGUCCGAAUACAUAAUUGUCAUUCGAACAUAUUACUUUGAAGUUAAGAUACAUAAUUUUGAUUAUUGAGAUACAUCCAUUUCUGAAAUUAUUUGAUCGGGAUACAUAAUACAUUAACUAGACAAAAGGGAGAUACAUGAUUAAAAUUAUGUAUUUGAAAAAUUAUGUGUUUGCUGACUUACCCGUCUGUUUUAAGAAACAAAAAGAAAUUUUGGUAAUUAAUAAAACGGGUAGAAUUUUAUGUAGUUUAGUAAAGAUAAGUUGUGGUUUUAUGUAAUUUUUUAAAUAAAAAAGAAAAACAAUGUUGGGACAUGCAUGUGUUGGAAACUAAAAUGAAAAUCUAAAAUAAACUCUAAGAAAUUAUUCUUUUAAUUUUUUUUUAAAAUAUAUGAUUAAAAAGGGCAGCUCGGUUCACUAAAGCUACCGCUAUGCGCGGUAUUUGGGGAAGGGGCCCAUCACAACAGUGUAUUGUACGCAACCUUACCUUGUAUUUCUACUAGAGCUGUUUGCAAGGCUUGGACUCAUGACCUCCUGGUCACAUGACAACAACUUUACCAGUUACUCCAAAACUCCUCUUCAAAAGAAUGUUGGAAGCGGAAAAAAUAAAUAAAUAUAUAUAUAUAUAUAUAUAUAUAUAUAUAUAUAUAUAUACACACACACAUACAUACAUACAUAUAUGAGAUUAAUAUUAAAAAUUCUAAGAUAUUGUCGAACUAUCUUUACAACUAAGAUAAUGUCACAAAAAAUAAAAAAUAAAAACAUAGCAUCAAGACUUUAAAAUUUUUUUACAAACAUAAAGUUUAAUACUAAUUUUGGAUUCGGGCUUAGCACAGGCCAAAUAUGACUAGUAGAUAGAUAUAGAUAGAUAUCGAUAAAAAGUGAAAAAAAAAAGAAUGUCUAAGGUUCCUAUUUUAUUCUUUUUCGCCACCUAAUUUGACUUAAUUAACUAUUGACAGGACUUUAUCCUUCGUAUGAUAAAAGUGAGAAUUUACGACAUAAUUUGACACCUUUGUUGGUUUAAUUUUGGAUUAAAUAACUUGACACCCUAAUUACUCAUGCUGCUACCAUUAUUGAGGAUUGUAUUACUACUAUUAAUAAGAGUGAAGAAGCAGAUAGCUCUUCGUCAACAUAUCUACUUCUUCACAUGCUUUAGCUGCUCCGUGAUUUUAUUAUAUUAUCAUUAAUUAAUUAUUUUAAGUCAUUUAUAUAUAAGAAAAUUAAUAAUACUUAAUUAAAAAAAGGUAUUACUACUUUUAAUAAGAGUGAAGAAACAAACAACUCUUCGUCAACAUGCCUGCUUCUUCACAUGCUUCAGCUGCUCCGUAAUUUUAUUAUAUUAUCCAUAAUUAAUUAUUUUAAGUCAUUUAUAUAUACUUAAUUAAAACAAGGUAAAAUAGACAUUCAUGACAUGUCUGUUUCAGCUGCUUCAAUCGUAGUAUUACUACAUCACCUCAAAUUAAUUAUUGUAAGUCAUCUAGGUAUUACAAAAUUAAAAAUAUUUAAUAAAUAAUAAAAUAGAUAUAAAUGAUAAAUCAAUUCUUAAUGUUUUAAAUUAAUAGGACAUCUUAUAUGAGACUUAUUUAAAAAAUUUCACAAGUAUGUUUGCUCCAUGAUUUUACUAUAUUACCCCUAAUUAAUUAUUGUAAGACAUUUACAUAUAAGAAAAUUAAUAAUGUUUAAUAAAAAAAGAUAAAAUAGACAUUUAUGACAUGUUUACUUCAGCUGUUAUAACCAUAAUUUUACUAUAUCACCUCUAAUUAAUUAUUAUAAGUCAUUUAGGUAUUAAAAAUUUAAUAAUAUUUAAUAAAAAUAAAAUUAACAUAAAAUGAAAAUUAAUUCUUGAUGUUUUAAAUUAACAUGACAUCUUGUAUGAGACUCAUUUAAAUGUUUUUUCACAAAUAUUUUCUCAUAGUAAUUUUUCUAUAUCACUUCUAAUUAGAUAUUAUAAGUCAUUUAGGACAUAUCCACUUUGCUGCUUCAAUCGUAAAAUUUGGUUGACUUUUGAAUUUAUUUCAGUGUUACUUAAAUUGGAAUAGAAGAAAAAGUAUUAUAAAUCAUAAUAAUGAAAAACCUAAAUUAUUUUAAGAAUAUAAUUGAAUAUCAAUGCCACAAAAAUUUGGAUAAGGAGAAUAACAUAUAUUAUUUGAAAAUUACAUAAAAAAUAUUAUAAAUUACAAUAGCUAACAAUUUAAAAUGUUUAAAAACAUAUUAAGAAUCUGAUUAAUUAUCUAAAUUAUAUUUGUAUCACGUAAAUUUGGGAUAGUUUUGACAUUUUAUAAUUUGCAUGUUUUAUUAUGUUAAUUUAGUAAUUUGUUGAUCCAAAUGAUGUUUUCGAAUCUAACAUGUUUUAAAAAUUUAGUACUUUGUUUAUUUUAAUUUAUUUACUUUAUUUUGAUAAAUAUUACUCCUCCUGUUUAAAAAAGAAUGACCUACUUUUUUUUUUAGUCUGUUUAAAAAAGAAUGAUCCUUUCCCUUUUUAGCAAUACUUUAAUUUCAACUUUUCACAUGACAUGUUUAGGACCACAAGAUUAAAGGACAUUUUGGUACAUUUGACAUAACUUUAAUUUAAGGCCACAAGAUUCAAAAGUCUUCUUUAUUUUUUUAAACUUUGUGCCAAGUCAAAGUAGAUCAUUCAUUUUGAAAUAGAGGGGGUAUAUAUUUAAAAAUUAAGCAAAAAAAUAAUUAUAAGUCAUAACUAUUAACAUCUUUUAAUAUUUUAAAACAUAUAGUAAAAAAGAUGAUUGACUUUUGAAAUUCUAAUAGUGUCACAUAAGUUGCGAUAAAUCAAGUAACAUAAAUUAUUUGAAAUUACAUUAAAAGAUACUAAAAUCACAAAGAUUAACAACUUAAAAUAUUUAAAAAAAUAUAUUAGUAAAAAAAUUUGAUUGACUCACUAAAUUCUAAAAUUGGGACAAAGCGAGUAACAUAAAUUACAUAAAAGAUACUAUAAAUCACAAUGAUUAGCAACUUAAAUUAUUUAAAAAUUUAUAUUAAUAACAUUUUGAUUGACACUUUAAAUGCUAUUUGUGCUACAUAAAUUGAGAUAACGUAAAUAAUAUAUGUUGGGCCCGUGCUAGCACAUACUACAGUAUCUAGUUUUGGCAUGAACAUGUAUAGGAUAAGUAUAAAUUAAAAAAAAGAAAAAAAAAAGAAAAAGUUUUUUUUUAAAGUAUAGGAUAAGUAUUUUAGGAAAAAUUUCAGAAAUAGCAACUAUAGAGCCUUAAUUGUAACUUUUAUAGCGCAACAGUUUCAUAAUUACGAAAAAUAAUAAAUUGUAUUUUGUAUUUAAGUAAACAGUUGCUAUACAAAUACAUAUAUAACAUGAUUUACUAUCCUUAUUUUACUCAAAUUAGUUGAGUUAAAUAAGAAAUAAUUAUCCCAUCUAAUUAAAUUUUCAUAAAUUACUCUUAUUUAAAUUAGUAGAUUUUUUUCCAAAUCAAACUCAAAUAUGAAGAUUAUUAUUUCCAUGAUCUUAAAAAUUUCAAAAUAUCAUUUUGUUAUAUCUCUAAAUAUUUUUUCUUGUUAGUUUUUUUCAAUUUUUAAAUCUUUUUUCAUUUUAAUUUCUUUUUCUUUUCCAUUUUUUCUUUCCACUUUAUUUUCUCUCUUCUACUUCUAUUUCUCUUUCCUUUUUCACUUCUUUCUUUUUUUGAAUUUUUCUUUUUCUUUUUGUUUUUCUUUUUUUUUUUUGUUUUUUCUUUGUUUUUUUUUACUCUUCUAUCUCUAUCUUUUAUUUUUAAAAGACAAAUGUCUAUAUCAUAUAUACAUAUUCAAAAAAUAUACAAAAUAAAUAGAUAUAUAGAUCUGUAUAUGUAUUUACGGUAAAAAAACAUACAUAUAUAUCUGCAUAUGUAUUUACAAAAAUACAUAUUUGACUCACAUGUAUAUAUAAAUAUAUAGGACACAAAAUCUCUAUAAUAAAAAUGACAAUGAUAUACAUAUACAUAUAGGUAAUAAAAAAUACAUGAUACAUAUCUUAAAUAGUAAAAGAAAAUAAAUAAGUACAUCUGUUACCCUCUAAAAUGACAUAGUACGUACAGUUUAAAGAUAAAUCCAACAUCGUAUAAAAUACAUAUAGCUCUGCAUAUGUAUUUACAAAAUACAAAUCUGAUCCAUAUGUAUAUUCUUAUUUUAUAUGAGUCACCUUUGUAUUUCGCAAAUAUAUAUGAAGAUAUAUAGUAUAGUUAUAUUUGUUACUGUUUAAUAUGAAUAUGAUAUAUAUUUCGUAAAUACAUAUGUAUGUUUUGUACUAAAAUACAUAUCUAGAUCUGUAUGACUAUGUAUUUUAUAUGUUUUUUGAAUAUUUAUAUGUCAUAUACAUAUAUUUUUUUUCAAAAUAAAAGUUGGAGAUAGAGAAGUCAAAAAAAGGGAAAAAACAAAAAUAUAAAAAGAAAAAAAUGAAAAAAAGAGAAGUGAAAAAAAAAAAAAGGAAGAAAGAGACACAGAAGUGUAAAAAUAAAAGAAAAAAAGAAACAAAAUAAAAUAGGAAAAAGAAGAACAAAACAAAAAUAGAAAAAGAAAAAAAAAAUAUGGGAAAGGAAAAAAAAAGAAAACAAAAAAGUCAAAAAAAGAGGAAUAGAAGAGAGAAAAUAAAGUGAAAAGAAAAAAAUGAAAAAGAAAUAAAAAUAAAAAAUAAAAUGAUUAAAAAAAAGAUGAAAAAAAACUAACAAGAAAAAAAAAAGGUAAAAAAUAUAAGAGAGUGAAAGAUAGUAAUGAUGUUUUAUAUUGAAAUCUUGAAGAUCAUGGAAAUAAUUAUCUUCAAAUAUGAAAAAAAAAAAAAUUAAAAAAAAUGAAAAAGGGAAAAAAAGAAGAGAAAUAGAAGAGAGAAAAUACAAUGAAAAUAAAAAAUUAAAAAUAAAAUAAAAUAAAAAAAUAAAAUGAUAAAAAAAUAAGAUGAAAAAAGGGGUAAAAGAUAUGACUAUAUUUGGGGGAGGUGAAAUAUGGAGUGAAAAUAGUAAAAUAUAAAAUAGUGAGAGUAAAACAUGCACUUGCGUAGUUAAUGAGUAAAAUAAUGAUACUCUUACUAUAAACUGUAAUUUUACAAAAAUGUUGCUAUUUAUUGUAAUUAUAGUCUUAAGUAUGCUACUUUUUGUAAUUUUUUCUUUUUUUAAAUGAGAGCAGAGUCAAAAGGCACUUUUCGAAAGUCAAAAAAUCAAAAUGGGUUGCCAAUUUUUUUUCAGACCAAAAGGGGUUGUUGGCAACACAUGCUGCAAACUGAUCACCCAGUUUAUUUCUUAAUUUCAACCCACUUUCUAUCUUCGUUAAUAAAUCACACGUUUUGAACAAACAUUUUUCAUCCAGUCAGUAGGAUCGAAUCUUGGGUUCCAAAUCGAGUCCCUUAAGUCCCACAUCUAGGUCGGGGUAGGGUCUUAAAUUAGGGUCAGGGCUUAAAUAUCGAGUCUCAUACAGGUCUCGAGACUCAAUUAAAAGUUUGGUUCUAUUUCAGUUCGGAUCUUGGAUCCAGUCUUUGGCUUAAUUAGAUCUUGGGUCCCAAGUUGGGACUAUCUAAGGUCCUGUGAUAAGGGAUGGGUCGACUUGAGUCUUAAGUCAAGGCUUAUUAGGUCUAGGUUCGUGGUCAUACAAGGGGCUUAGGUCUUGAGCUCCAAGAGUGGGUAUAGCUUGGGGUUGGAUCUUGGUUUGGUUGGUGUCAAUGUCGGGUCUUGGGUUAAGGUCGAGGUCGAGGUCAGGUUUUGAUUUAGGGCUUAGGUCUAGGGUAGGGCUUGGAUCUCAAGUCUCACGUUAGUAGUUGGGAUCAAGUCUUGAAUCAUGAAUCAGGACUUAAGUUGGGUCUUAAGUCUAACUUCAGGUCUUAAAUUGGGUUCGAAUCUCAAGUCUCAAGUCAUUAGUCAGGUUCAAAUCUCGAGUCCAAAGUCAAUAUGGGUUCAGGGUUAUCAGGUUUUGGGUCAGGUUACAUGUUGAUCUCGGAUCUCAUAUCUUGGAUCAGGCUUGGGGCUCGAAUCUCAAAUUUUAAGUUGUGGUCGAGGUCAAGUAUUGGGUCCCCCGAUUGGAUCUCAACUUAGGGCUUGGGUGGGUCGAGGAUCAAAUCUUGGGUCAAGGUUGAGUUUUAGGUUAGGUUUGGGUUCGGGUAUCGAGUUAAACUUAACAUUAUAGUCGGGUUCGAGUCUUAGGUUUUAUUUGAUGGGUCAGGAUAGGUCUGUUAAUUUUAAUGGAUCCGGGUUUUAAUUUUAAAUGGGUAAAUGGUAGGGUGAGUUAAUUUUCAGUACGUGGACUUCAAAUAAGAGUCCACAUGAAAAAGAUGGUAUAGCGAAAACCAUUUGUAUUUUCUAUUAAAAAUAUAAUGUAACACCCCAAACUUUCGAACAAAAAAAAACAAAUUGAAUCGUUCUUCAUAUGUACUUAGACACGAAUCUAGAAAAUUUAUUGUAUCUAAGUUUAAAGGUCAUGUCUAAAGUGUCAUAGGGGCAUUGGAUAUAGGGGUGUGCAAAAAUUAAAUCGACCAAUAAAUCGAAUUGAUUAAAAUGUUAUUGGUUUAUUGUUAUUUGGUUAACGGGCUUUCUAAUGGUUUUAUAAAAUAAAAUUAUUGGGUUAUUGGUUCUGUUUCGGAGCCGGGGGUUUACCGGAAACAACCUCUCUACUUCUUCAGAGGUAGCGGUAUGGAUUGCGUACAUUUUACCCUCCCCAGACCCCACUUGUUGGGAAUACACUGGGUUUUUUUUUGUUGUUGUUGUAUUAGUUCGGUUUCGAUAUUUCUUAUUGGGUUAUUGGUUUACCCAAUAACCCAAUAAGAAUAUACUAGAUUACUAUUUUACACCUACUUAUACACACACAUGACUUAUUAUAUAUUUCUCUUAAUUUCUACAAAUUAACAACCUAUUAUUUCAAUUAUACAAACUCUUAAUUUCUCGUAACAACAUUUAGUUCAAGUUUAAAGAUUCUUGUAAACUAAAACACAUCAUGUUGGUUGCAGCCUAAUAAAUGAACAUCAGUACUUGAUAAAUGAUCAACAAAAAAGGUUUUACCAUAUUUAUAUAUUCUCACCUUGAUACUUCAACAAGUUCUUAUUUGUGCAACAUUUGGAGCAAGUUGUGAUCCAACUUGGCAAAACGAAGUAACACGUCACUCUUUGUCUCCUACUUCUCAUAGAUGGAUGCAAUGAAGAAUCGAAUCUCAAUUCGACGAAUACCUUUGUGCAAAGAUUGCUCAAGGGCAUGCGUCGUUUUCUCCUUAAGAGGAGAAGUUCAAAUGUGGAGUUGCAGACUGUUGGAAUUUCAAAGCACAAAAAAGACUACACUGAAGAAGAAGAAGAAGAAAUGGAUAUGCUGAGCAAAGAAAAGAAAUUGAGGAACAUGAUACAAAUUAAAAAGUCACGUGUAGAAGACCCCACGUAAAGAAAAGCUGGACAAUUCUUUUUUGUAAAUAUAUUUUUCUUCUUUUCUUUUGUUUUGUUUUGUAUUUAAUUAGAUAUACAUGAGUUGUUCUCAACCAAUAGGUACAUGUAUAGUUUGAUUACAACUGGACUCUUUUUCAGCUGUAUAAAUAAACCAGACGUACAAUUUCCUUUAAUUCUCUUUAUUUUCUUCAUGGUUUUAGAGCAAGUUGUUUAAUUUCUCCUCAUUUCUUGUUCUUCUUUUAAUUUUUUAUUUUCGCUUCUGUUUUUCCAAUGGAAAUUGAUGAAUCAUCUAUAAGUAAGAGUACUGAAUCCACAAUGAUGGAUUCCAGUAGUCUUUACUACCUACAUUCUUCAGAUUAUCCAGGUAUGAACUUGGUUAAUUCUACUUUUGAUGGCAAAGGGUAUGAAGGCUGGCGUAGGUCUGUCCUCAUUGCCCUAUCGCCAAAAAUAAGCUAAGUUUCAUUGAUGGAUCUUGUGUCACACCUUUUGUUGAUGCUCCGGAGUUUAAAAUUUGGAGUAGGUGCAACGACAUGGUCCUAUCUUGGCUUCUUAACUCUCUCUCGAAAGAGAUUUCUGACAGUGUGAUCUAUUCCAAGACUGUGAAAGACCUUUGGACAAAUUUGGAAGACAGAUAUGGUCAGUCAAAUGGGUCAAAAUUAUACCACCUACAAAAAGAAUUUAAGUGACUUGGUUCAAGGUUCUAGUGAUAUAGCAGGUUAUUUCACAAAGAUCAAAAGACUUUGGGAUGAACUAGACACUUUAAUUACUAAUGUAUGUUGUGAUUGUGUCUGUACUUGUGAAGGAAAAGUUAAAAUUAUUAAGUCUAUGCAAGAUGAAAGAUUGAUCCAUUUUUUAAUGGGUUUAAAUGACUCUUUUUCUCAUAUUGGAGGAACUAUAUUGAUGAUCGCUCCUCUUCCUAAUGUUAUCAUGGCUUACUCACUUUUAAUCCAAGAUGAAAAACAAAGAGAAGGUUAUGUUAAUAAUCAAUAUCCUGGAGAGUCUUCCUCUUUUUUGGUUGUUAAUAGGGCUGCAGGGAAUAAAAAAAAUGGAAAUCAUGAUUAUACAGGAAAAGGAAAAGUUGAUUUAAAGAAGAAUAGCCUUGUUUGUUCUUAUUGUAAGAAGUUGGGACAUACUAUAGACAAGUGCUACAGGAUUGUGGGCUUUCCGUAAGAUUUAAAGUUCAUCAGGUACAAGAAGAUUCAAGGAGGAACUCAUUGCAAUGCAGUCAUAACAGAGCCCCUCCUUCACAAGGUUUUUAUGCACAUGAAACAAAUGAAAAUCAACAGCUCUCACCAGAGCAGUUCACUCUACUCAACAAGUGAAAAUUGGUCAAUCAGAGGCUAAACCCUCAGAAGUUACUGCCAACUGCGUGUUCUGGUAUAACUAAUCUUGCUCAUCAAUUUCUUUCCUGUUUUAAUCAUAUCAAAUUCAACUCCUAGAUCAUAGAUUCAGGGGCAUCAGAACAUAUGCUUUUUGAUGUUUCUCUUUUUUCUUAUCGCACUCCUUUUGUCACACCUUUAACAGUAAAUCUACCUAACUCACAAAAGGUGAAGGUUACUCAUAAAGGAAAUGUUCAAAUCUUGCCAAAUUUGAUUUUACAUAAUGUUCUUUUUGUUCCAGAAUUCAAUUAUUAUCUUCUUUCUAUUGAGAAAUUAUGCCUUCAAUAUAAAUACAUACUAACUUUCUCUUCCACUGGUUGUUUCUUAUAGGCCCUUCAAUGAAGAGGCCACUGGUUCUUGGUGAAAGUCGUAAUGAUCUCUAUCUGCUCAAAUCCAACUCCACAACUCCUAAGUCUAGCAUUCAAGACAUCUUCAGUAUUCCAGUUUUACAAAGUUCAACAAUCUUUCCUAAUUCAACAUUUUCUUCUUUUUCUAGUAAUGUUUUAGGAUCUACGGUUGAUGUAAAUUUGUGGCAUAAGAGAUUAGGCCACUUAUCUUAUUCAUAAAUGAAAAGAAUAAAGUCAGUUAUUUGGAAUUUUCAAUCUCAUGCUAAUUUACCUUGUGAUAUUUGUCCAAUGGCCAAACAAACUAAAUUACCUAUCCCUUCAAGCAUUAUUUCUACCAUAUCAAUCUUUGAAUUAAUUCACAUAGUUUUAUAUGGGUUCCAUAUAAAACUAGCACAUAAGAUGGUUUCAAAUAUUUUCUUACUAUAGUUGAUGAUUUUAGUAGAGGAACUUGGACAUUUCUUUUGACUACUAAGAGUAAUGCUUUUCCCCUUCUCAAACACUUUCUUAGUAUGGAAGAAAGACAAUUCAAUACUAAAGUUAAAAUAAUCAGAUCUGAUAAUGCUUUAGAAUUAGGUUCUAGUUUCAUCAUUUCAGACUUCUUCAAAACUCAAGGUAUUUUACAUCAAAUUUCUUGUGUCGGAACUCCCCAACAAAAUGGAAUAGUAGAAAGAAAGCAUAGACACCUAUUGGAAAUAUGUUGGUCUCUUAUGCAUCAAUCACAAGUCCCUACUUCUUUCUGGGGAGAUUGUCUUCUUAGUUCUACUAUUUUAAUAAACAGAUUUAUCAAGAGUAUUAAAAUUCACCACUCCUUACGAAGUGCUUCACAAAACUAAACCAUCCUAUAAUUUUUGAGAACUUUUGGAUGUUUAUAUUAUAUUUCAACUCUUUUCGCUCAUAGGGGAAAAUUGGAACCUAGAGCUGUCAAAGGUAUAUUUUUGGGAUACCUACUAGGAAAAAGGGAUAUAAAGUCAUGAGUCUUCUUACAAGAAAAAUUAUUUAUUCAAGGGAUGUAGUUUUUCAUGAGAAUAUAUUUCCCCAUUCUUCUCCAUCUCCUUCUAUUCUUAUUUUCCCACAAAAUUUUGAUUAUUUUCACUAUGCUAGCGAUCCUAUUACGGAGCCAAUUUCUCCUACAAAACCUCCUGCAAAGGGCCUUGAACCACCGAAUUCACCUCUUGUUCAUACUUCAUCUUCUAGUCCAACUAUUUUGUCACCUGGGAAUGUAAAUCCUAGUUUUCUUUCUCCUACAACUCCACCUCUUCCUAGUUCACAAAUCGAUACUAUUUCUACUACUUUACUCCAUCAUUCAACUCCUAAAGUCACCAGAUCAGGAAGGACUCAACAUAAGCCUUCUUACAUAAAAGAUUUUAUCUGUAAUGCAGUACAUUUUACUGCACUUACUGAUACUUGUUUUGCAGCUUCUAUUCAAACUCCUAUUUUUUCCUUCUCUACCCUCUCCAUUACUAAUCAACAAAUGUUAAACUCAAUUUCUAUUAUUAAGGAACCUUCUAGUUAUGUAGAAGCUUCCACGCAUCACGGUUGGCAGGAAACUAUGAAAAGUGAGUUUGAAGCACUGAUUUCUAAUCACAUUUGGGAGACUAUGGAAUUACAAGUGGGACAUAGAGCUCUUCCUUGCAAAUGGGUUUACAAAUUCAAGCAUAAGUCUGAUGGAUUCGCUGAGAGACUUAAGGCUAGACUUGUUAUAAGAGGAGAUAUUCAAAGAGAAGGAAUCGAUUACACUGAGACUUAUUCCCUUGUUGUUAAGAUGACUACCAUAAGAUUUUUGUUUUCAGUAGCCGUUAAGAUGAAUUGGGGGAUUUAUCAAUUAGAUGUAAACAAUGAGUUUCUACAUGGAGAACUACAAGAGGAAGUUUUGAAAUUUCUCCCCGGAAUGCAACCUACUAAUCCUAAUCUCAUUUGCAAGCUUAGAAAAUCUCUUUAUGGUUUAAAACAAGCCUCGAGGUAGUGGUAUGGUAGGAUCAUAGCUGUACUCAACUUCAAAGGUUAUAUUUAUUCUUUGAAUGACUAUUCUUUAUUUUUCAAACAUACAGGGAAUUCUAUUUCACUUGUUGCUGUUUAUGUCGAUGAUAUUUUACUAACCGACAAUGAUCCUAUUGAACUCAAUUCUCUUAAGUCAUUUCUCAAUGAUGAAUUUAAAAUCAAGGACCUCGGAGAGGUGCAUUAUUUUUUGGGAAUGGAGGUUAUUAGGGAAAAUCAUAGACUUAUUCUUAGUCAAAGGAAAUUUACCUUGGAAUUGCUGGAUGAAUUUGAUUCUCAGAAAUCAGCUCCUGUUUCUUCUCCUUUGGAUCCUUCACAAAAACUAAAGAUGGACUAAGGUGAGUUAUUAGCCGACCCAAUAACUUAUCGACGGCUAUUAGGUAAAUUAAAUUUUCUCACUCAUACCAGGCUAGAUUUAUCUUUUGCUAUGCAACAUUUGACCCAGUAUAUGCAGCAGCCAAGGCUUCCUCAUUUUUUGGCAGUACUCAGAGUUAUUCGGUACCUCAAAUUAGCUUCUGGCCAAGGUUUAUUUUUCUCAAUUUCACAUUUGAUUGAGCUCAUGGCUUUCUGCAUUUCCGAUUGGGGAUCCUGUCCCGAUUCCAGACGCUCUGUUUCUGGCUAUUUCAUUACUCUUAGGGGAUCAUCUAUUUCAUGGAAAUAUAAGAAGAAAUCUUCUAUUUCUCUAUUUUCUGCUGAGGUAGAAUAUCGAUCUAUGAGGCGUGUUGUUGGUGAACUGACCUGGUUUGUAAAAUUGCUUCAUGAUCUUUCUAUCACUCCAUCUCUCCCAAUUACUCUUCACUCGGACAGUCAAUUUGUCAUCCACAUCGCAAAAAAUCUUGUCUUCCAUGAACGGACCAAACAUGUGGAGAUCGAUUGUCACUUCUUUCGACAACAAUACCUUGCUAGACUGAUUUCUUUAUCAUAUGUUCCUUCAUCUGCUCAACUUGCAGAUCUCUUCACCAAACCGUUGUCAGGGCCUUCAUACUUUUCCAUCCUUUGCAAGUUGGGUGUCUCUGGUUUCCCCUCCAACUUGUGGGGGCUGGUGGUGUUGGAAUUUCAAAGCUCAAAGAAGAAUACAAUGAAGAAGAGGAAGAAACGAAUAUGCUGGGCAAAGAAAAGAAAUUGAGGAACAUGAUCCAAAUUAAAAAGUCACGUGCAGAAGACCCCAAGUAAAGAAAAGCUGGACAAUUUUUUUUUGUAAAUAUAUUUUUCUUUUGUUUUGUAUUUAAUUAGAUAUACAUGAGUUGUUCUCAACCAAUAGGAAAAUAGAUAGAUGUAUAGUUUGAUUACAAUUGGACUCUUUUUCAGCUGUAUAAAUACAUGUACAGAAUACAAAAGUAAAGAAAACAGACAUACAAUUUCC
Molecule: long non-coding RNA, 12928 nt
Filed under: Capsicum annuum
Lineage: Eukaryota; Viridiplantae; Streptophyta; Magnoliopsida; Solanales; Solanaceae
Description: long non-coding RNA (CANN_LNC019881)
Source: RNAcentral